ACGCUGACAGAAUGCUUAACACAUGCAAGUCUUUGGCGAAUCUGUGCUUGCACAGGCUAGCCAAGGCGGACGGGUGAGUAACGCGUAAAGAACUUGCCCUGCAGACAGGGAUAACAGACGGAAACGACUGACAACACCUGAUACAGUUGCCGGCACGCAUGUGCCUGGCAAUGAAAAGAGAUGCUGCGGGAGAGCUUUGCGUCCUAUUAGCUUGUUGGCGGGGUAACGGCCCACCAAGGCGAUGAUAGGUAGCCGGCCUGAGAGGGUGAACGGCCACAAGGGGACUGAGAUACGGCCCUUACUCCUACGGGAGGCAGCAGUGGGGAAUAUUGGACAAUGGGGGCAACCCUGAUCCAGCAAUUCUGUGUGCACGAUGAAGGUUUUCGGAUUGUAAAGUGCUUUCAGCAGGGAAGAAGGAAGUGACGGUACCUGCAGAAGAAGCGACAGCUAAAUACGUGCCAGCAGCCGCGGUAAUACGUAUGUCGCAAGCGUUAUCCGGAAUUAUUGGGCAUAAAGGGCAUCUAGGCGGCCAGGCAAGUCUGGGGUGAAAACUUGCGGCUCAACCGCAAGCCUGCCCUGGAAACUGCCUGGCUAGAGUGCUGGAGAGGUGGACGGAACUGCACGAGUAGAGGUGAAAUUCGUAGAUAUGUGCAGGAAUGCCGAUGAUGAAGAUAGUUCACUGGACGGCAACUGACGCUGAAGUGCGAAAGCUGGGGGAGCGAACAGGAUUAGAUACCCUGGUAGUCCCAGCCGUAAACGAUGAUUACUGGGUGUGGGCAUGAAGAGUGUCCGUGCCCAAACAAAUGCGAUAAGUAAUCCGCCUGGGGAGUACGGCCGCAAGGCUGAAACUCAAAGGAAUUGACGGGGACCCGCACAAGCGGUGGAGCAUGUGGUUUAAUUCGACGCAACG
Molecule: ribosomal RNA, 910 nt
Filed under: uncultured bacterium
Lineage: Bacteria
Description: bacterial SSU rRNA
Rfam family: Bacterial small subunit ribosomal RNA
Source: RNAcentral